UUGCCAGAGCAGCCUCUCGGGAAUUUGCCAGCAAUACAUGGCACUUCUUCAUGCUCCAGCUUGCCAAGCAGCCCAGCAUGGCCAAAGUCUGUUCAAGGAGCUGCCAGCUGAUGCUCCUCACUGUGACUGGGGAAUGCAAUUAUGGUGCCAGAGGCACUGACACUGGGGUUGGCUCUGUAAGUGUUCUCAAGAUGUUAUUUUCCUCGGAAAUCAUUACAAAUGUCAAUUAGGUACUUGAUCCAAGUGGUGUUUAUUUUGCCCCUCCUGAAGGAGAUGUAUGUCAGAACAACAGAAUUACCAACAGCUUUUUUUUUUUUUUUUAAUAGAUGCAUCUUUACUGAAACUGAUGUGUAUCAGUGUUUACUCAGUCACUGCUUUGGUGGCAGUGACUUCUAAGAAAGGGACAUUAUGUAAACACCACCCAAUUACUGUCAUCUGAAUUGACACUGUGUGAGUCAGCACUCAGGGGACAGCAAGUGAGAAACACAGCCCAGUGAAGUUAAAGCAUUUUAAAGUAGGCAUAAGAGAAGUAGUUCAUUAUAUUUCCUGAGGCAGAAAGGCCACAAUAAUCAGCUUAAUUUAUCACACAGGAGUUGUCUCAGUCAUCAGCAAAACACCUGCAGGCACUUGGCAGGCAGUGGGCUUGGAGAGAGGCUGCAGCCCCUUACACUUGGUAUCUCAUUUUAACUGAAUUUUCAUCAGCUCCCAGAAUUUUUCAGGAACUACAUCUUUGUAUCUUUUAUAUCUUAGUUAACACACUUUAUUAAUCACUAGGAAAUUCUGUAGUGGUUUUGAAGUACACCUUGUGGCCUCUUGUGGGCUGGUUGGCUCCUUCUGCAUCUUUUUUUUUUUGCUCUGGAGGUAUUUUUCCCCACUUCUUCUCAGUACUGAAGCUGUACUGAACAUACAAAGACACUUGCACAGAAUCCUUUCCCAGAGACCUUUGGAAUGACUGCAAACGCUGGUGUUACCAAGGCUCAGUCAGGAACACAGCUGUUAUUUGAUGACAUUCUUACACAGGCAUGAUGCAAAGUCACACACCACCUUACCCAGAUUCUCUAUGCAUAUCCAUGUUCACCUUCCCUCCUGAGUUUUCACUGUACCUCCAUUCUGGUGAAAUUACUUUUCCACUCAAGAAUGUUUUAAGGCUUUUUUUGGGGGGGAUUCUAUUUUUUUCUGUCUUCCUGGGGAAACAUUUUGUGACUGUACAGUCAGUUUAUAGAUCUCCUACUUCCUCCAGCUUUUAACAGUUUUCAACCUGUGGCCAGUUCUAGUCCAGUUUGUAAGCCAGGUACAGUCUAGUGCCACCACAGUUCAGGCCAAAAAAAAAAAAAAAA
Passer montanus (Eurasian tree sparrow) is the source of this 1337-nucleotide long non-coding RNA. RefSeq lists it as uncharacterized. The record is from RefSeq and is a predicted model, not a curated record. The transcript is spliced from 2 exons. Lineage: Eukaryota; Metazoa; Chordata; Aves; Passeriformes; Passeridae.